UAUGGAUUAUUAGAGAUAUAAUAUUAGUAUAAUAUUAGUUAAUUUAUAUUUUUUAUAAAAAUUAAAUAAUAUUAUUGUUUAGGAAAUAAGUUUAUUUAGUAUAAAAAAUACAAAGAUAUGAAUAAAAAAUUGUCUAAUUUUGUGCCAGCAGUCGCGGUUAAACAAGAGAGAAUUAAUAUAUUCAUAAGUUUAUUAAAAAAAAAUAAUAGUUAAAAAAUUUUAAAAAAUGGUGAAAUAUUUUUAAAAAUAAAAUAGUUAAUUAAAAAUAAGGUAAAUUAUUAAAAAAACUAGGAUUAGAUACCCUAUUAUAGUAAUAGUAAAUUAGUAGUAAAAUUUUUUAAACUAAAGGUAAUUGGCGGCAUUUUAUAUCUUUUCAGAGGAAUUUGUUUAUUAAAAGGACGAUCCACCUGAAUCUUACUUUAAUUGGAAAUUUCAGUUUAUAUAUCGUUAUCUUUAUUAAUUUUAGUUAAAUAGUAGAAGUUUAAAAAAUUUAAAAAAUGUUAAAUUAGAUGUAGCUAAUAUUAAAGGUUAGAUGAAUUAUAUUAAUUUUUUUUAACGAAAAAUGAUUUUAAAAAGUUGUUUUAAGAAAAAUUUGAAAGUAAAAUUUUUAAAUUAUAAAAAUUUGAAAAAGCCCUAAAAUGUGCACAUAUCGCCCGUCACUUUCAUUAAAGUGAAAGAAGUCGUAACAAAGUAAAUAUAUUGGAAAAUGUAUUU
This 714-nucleotide non-coding RNA is filed under the name Echinolaelaps echidninus. The record is from RNAcentral. Lineage: Eukaryota; Metazoa; Arthropoda; Arachnida; Mesostigmata; Laelapidae.